CAGAGAAACAAUGUUUCUGCUACAUUUCUAUUGGUCGCACCUUGGGAUUUUGCCCACUCAGGAAACCCAGCAGCCAGUGUAAAUCAACGCUCUCUUCCUUUCCAUCUGUGCUUCAUUGCAAGGAAGAAUCUACUCUGACAGAUGCAGCCACCUCUGCAAAAGCCCCACCUGUGACCACAAGAGGCUCUGAGGGGCCGUCCAGACCCAGCCCUGACAGGGAGUUUCCGCCCUUUGGUCAGAGGAAUGCCAGAUAAACAGCCUGUCAGUUAAGCUUAUCAACAUAGUUACAAUGUCACAGAAAAGAGAUGCCCGAUUCCCAGGCCAGUGGAGUUUCAUCUUAUUCUGAAUAAAGGCCA
RNAcentral lists this long non-coding RNA (356 nucleotides) under Heterocephalus glaber (naked mole-rat). Its description in RNAcentral is "lncRNA (ENSHGLG00000048595.1)". Lineage: Eukaryota; Metazoa; Chordata; Mammalia; Rodentia; Bathyergidae. The record is from RNAcentral.